AAAAACAUCGCCUCCCGCAAAAUCUCAAUGUAUAGGAGGUCCUGCCUGCCCAGUGAACUAGUUUAAACGGCCGCGGUAUCUUGACCGUGCAAAGGUAGCGCAAUCACUUGUCUUUUAAAUGAAGACCUGUAUGAAUGGUGGAACGAGGGCUUAACUGUCUCCCCCCUUAGGUCAGUGAAAUUGAUCUACCCGUGCAGAAGCGGGUAUAAAAAUACAAGACGAGAAGACCCUUUGGAGCUUAAGACACCAAGACCACUUAUGUCAAAAAUCCGCUACAAAGCAGAUUAAACCUAGUAAUACCUGGUCCCAGUCUUCGGUUGGGGCGACCGCGGGGGAAAACAAAGCCCCCAUGUGGAAUGGGAAAAUACCCUAAAACCAAGAGAGACAUCUCUAAGACACAGAACAUCUGACCAUUAUAGAUCCGGCUAUACAGCCGAUCAACGGACCAAGUUACCCUAGGGAUAACAGCGCAAUCCCCUCCCAGAGUCCCUAUCGACAAGGGGGUUUACGACCUCGAUGUUGGAUCAGGACAUCCUAAUGGUGCAGCCGCUAUUAAGGGUUCGUUUGUUCAACGAUUAAAGUCCUACGUGAUCUGAG
Molecule: ribosomal RNA, 597 nt
Filed under: Distichodus sexfasciatus (sixbar distichodus)
Lineage: Eukaryota; Metazoa; Chordata; Actinopteri; Characiformes; Distichodontidae
Description: partial 16S large subunit ribosomal RNA
Rfam family: Bacterial large subunit ribosomal RNA
Source: RNAcentral